GUCCUCUGCCCAAGUUCUAAACCAGCAAUGCAAAGAGCUAAGAAUUGCUUCAUGCUGAACUAGCCCAGCCCUGGGGCUGAUUAGUGGAAUCCACUGCAAGAUAAUUUGUUAUUCAUACUUAUCCAUUCACCUCCUGCUGGGCUGAGAUAAAGGUAUCCAUGCUUCAAAUGUUACAGCUUUGAGAAGGGAAAAGCCAAGGGGAUGUCUUGUUUUCCUUCUGUCUGUGGAAGCCGUGAAUUUUGGAUCGGCACUGUAAUAAAGCCUACAUUCAAAAAACAUACCCAGCACUGAUUCAUCUCCUGGAAGUUAUCAGCAGCAUCUGUUGUCUCUGGUACAUUGUGAUUUUCUAUUACUCUCUGAUGCCGUUUCCACCAGUGCAAAAUCAGCAUCAACUGCUACCUCCCAGCCUUUAGCUGGGCUGUUUCACAAGAUGCAGGAUAGCAAAAUUUAUUUUUUUUUUUCCCCCAGCUAAUUGGAAAAUGAAAUAAAACACAUCAUUAAGUUUCCAAAGUCAUUUUCCAGGUUCAUAUAACCAGUUUAUAGCAAGUUGCUCUUGUGUUGGACAACCCAACUAAAGUGUGGAUCUACUCAGUGGUGAAUGGUUUGGAUUAAUUUUUUGCUGCAGGGUGCCCCCAACACAUGGUAAUAACAGCUCCAGGUCCCCAGGUGCAUGAUGGCCUGAGUGAGAGUGGCCUGAGACCAGUUUAGGUUCUUGACUUGACCCUGUCUCCAAACAGAGCCCAGGGACAGUAUUUCUUUUUCAGCCACUCCUCAGCAAACAAAAUGCCCUGUAGGGCCUUGCCUGCUGGUUUUUGCCCAUGGCAGGAGGUGCAGAACCCCUGUCUUCCAUGUGGUGGUAGCCUCUGAGAGAGGAUGACCUUAUUGUCAUCUCACCUGGUAAAAGGCAGUCUGGUUCCUGUAAAGUUUUCUGUCCAAACAAGUACAAAAAGCUAAGAAAUAAUACCAGAAACCAAGUAACUGAUGUCAAUUUCUGCCAUCAGGAUGGUUGUAGUAGGCAAGGACUGGGCCCUAUGGCUGUUCCCCUUGGAAGAAGUCAGAAGUCAGGAAGCAUCACCAAGGCGUCUGUGGUACAGUUCAGAAUUGAACUAAAAGUUCAUAACUCGCUUCUUUUUUUUUUUUUUUUUUUUUUUUUUUAAUCUAGCCUUUCCACCACUGGGCUGAUGUGUGUUGGAUGUAGAUGAACAUCUGCUGAUAUAUAAUUAUAUGAUAUAUAAUUUUUAUGAUAUAUAAAAGGGACAAUGCUCACUGAAAUAGAUUAAAAGUCUCUUAAUAAUA
Anas platyrhynchos (mallard) is the source of this 1296-nucleotide long non-coding RNA. RefSeq lists it as uncharacterized. Lineage: Eukaryota; Metazoa; Chordata; Aves; Anseriformes; Anatidae. The record is from RefSeq and is a predicted model, not a curated record.